RNAcentral lists this ribosomal RNA (300 nucleotides) under Triticum aestivum (bread wheat). RNAcentral's name for it is "partial small subunit ribosomal RNA". Lineage: Eukaryota; Viridiplantae; Streptophyta; Magnoliopsida; Poales; Poaceae. The record is from RNAcentral.
AUGAAGAUACCUCUUAAGAAUAAAAUCUUUGCAUGGUAUCUUCGUCGCGGAGUCAUUCUUACUAAAGUUAACCUUAUUAAGAGGAAUUGGCAUGGAAGUACGCAAUGUGUAUUUUGUCCGCAUGAUGAGACAAUAAAAUAUUUGUUCUUCCAAUGUAAAUUGGCUCGUUUUAUAUGGUCAGUCAUCCAAAUAGCUCUGGCUUGUAUCCUCCUUAUAGUGUUGCUAAUAUAUUUGGCAACUGGUUACAUGGGAUUGAUCACAGGUUCGGAAUUCUACUUAGGGAGGGAGCACAUGCCGUGA